Molecule: ribosomal RNA, 438 nt
Filed under: uncultured bacterium
Lineage: Bacteria
Description: bacterial SSU rRNA
Rfam family: Bacterial small subunit ribosomal RNA
Source: RNAcentral
AACGCGAAGAACCUUACCCAGACUUGACAUGCAGCGGACCGUACCAGAAAUGGUACUUCCCUUCGGGGCUGCUGCACAGGUGCUGCAUGGCUGUCGUCAGCUCGUGUCGUGAGAUGUUGGGUUAAGUCCCGCAACGAGCGCAACCCUUAUCUCCAGUUGCUACCAUUUAGUUGAGCACUCUGGCGAAACCGCCUCGGAUAACGGGGAGGAAGGUGGGGAUGACGUCAAGUCCUCAUGGCCUUUAUGUCCAGGGCUACACACGUGCUACAAUGGCCGGUACAAACCGCUGCAACCCCGCGAGGGUGAGCUAAUCGGAAAAAGCCGGCCUCAGUUCGGAUUGGAGUCUGCAACUCGACUCCAUGAAGCUGGAAUCGCUAGUAAUCGUGGAUCAGCAUGCCACGGUGAAUACGUUCCCGGGCCUUGUACACACCGCUAGUC